RNAcentral lists this ribosomal RNA (311 nucleotides) under uncultured eukaryote. RNAcentral describes it as "partial 18S ribosomal RNA". It matches the Rfam family "Eukaryotic small subunit ribosomal RNA", at positions 1470 to 1796 of the family's 1831-position model. The record is from RNAcentral.
CCCCUAGACGUUCUGGGCUGCACGCGCGCUACAAUAAUACGCACAGCGAGUAUCACCGAGCUCGAAAGGGCAAGGUAAACAAUAGAAAAGGUACUGUAAUGGUUAUAGAUCCUUGUAAUUAUUGAUCUUCAACGAGGAAUUCCUAGUAAGUAUGUGUCAUCAUCACGCACUGAUUACGUCCCUGCCCUUUGUACACACCGCCCGUCGCUCCUACCGAUUGGGUGAGCCGGUGAAACUCUCGGAUGUAGGCUAUUCAUAGCCCGCAGAAGAGAUUUGAAUCGUAGCGCUUAGAGGAAGGAGAAGUCGUAACA